GGAAAGGUGGCUGAGAAUAGGCAGUAGAUUGUAAAUCUACCUACAGGUACCCCCUUCUUUCCA
RNAcentral lists this transfer RNA (63 nucleotides) under Chydorus sphaericus. RNAcentral describes it as "tRNA-Tyr". Lineage: Eukaryota; Metazoa; Arthropoda; Branchiopoda; Diplostraca; Chydoridae. The record is from RNAcentral.